RNAcentral lists this ribosomal RNA (253 nucleotides) under uncultured bacterium. RNAcentral describes it as "partial 16S ribosomal RNA". It matches the Rfam family "Bacterial small subunit ribosomal RNA", at positions 524 to 776 of the family's 1533-position model. The record is from RNAcentral.
UACGUAGGGUGCGAGCGUUGCCCGGAUUUAUUGGGCGUAAAGGGCGCGUAGGCGGCUGGGCACGUCCGUUGUGAAAUCGCCCGGCUCAACUGGGCGGGGUCAGCGGAUACGGUCGAGCUUGAGCAAGCUAGGGGGCAAUGGAAUUCCCGGUGUAGUGGUGGAAUGCGUAGAUAUCGGGAGGAACACCAGUGGCGAAGGCGGCUACCUGGACCGGUUCUGACGCUGAGGCGCGAAAGCGUGGGUAGCAAACAGG